UUGGAGGGCAAGUCUGGUGCCAGCAGCCGCGGUAAUUCCAGCUCCAAUAGCGUAUAUUAAAGUUGUUGCAGUUAAAAAGCUCGUAGUUGAAUUUCGGGGUUAGUAGAUUGGUCAUGCCUCUGGUAUGUACUGGUUUCACUGAUUCCUCCUUCCUGAUGAUCCGUAAUGCCAUUAAUUUGGUGUUGCGGGGAAUUUGGACUGUUACUUUGAAAAAAUUAGAGUGUUUAAAGCAAGCUAACGCUUGAACACAUUAGCAUGGAAUAAUGAAAUAGGACGUUCGAUCCUAUUUCGUUGGUUUCUAGGAUUGACGUAAUGAUUAAUAGGGAUAGUUGGGGGCAUUAGUAUUUAAUUGUCAGAGGUGAAAUUCUUGGAUUUAUUGAAGACUAACUACUGCGAAAGCAUUUGCCAAGGAUGUUUUCAUUAAUCAAGAACGAAAGUUAGGGGAUCGAAGACGAUCAGAUACCGUCGUAGUCUUAACCAUAAACUAUGCCGACUAGGGAUCGGAUGAUGUUAAUUUUUUAAUGACUCAUUCGGCGCCUUACGGGAAACCAAAGUGUUUGGGUUC
RNAcentral lists this ribosomal RNA (565 nucleotides) under uncultured Glomeromycotina. RNAcentral describes it as "SSU rRNA". It matches the Rfam family "Eukaryotic small subunit ribosomal RNA", at positions 548 to 1114 of the family's 1831-position model. The record is from RNAcentral. Lineage: Eukaryota; Fungi; Glomeromycota.